Molecule: ribosomal RNA, 1020 nt
Filed under: Triticum aestivum (bread wheat)
Lineage: Eukaryota; Viridiplantae; Streptophyta; Magnoliopsida; Poales; Poaceae
Description: partial small subunit ribosomal RNA
Source: RNAcentral
AUGGAGCACCACCAGCGGCUGCUGCAUUUGUCGCCACACCAAGAGCACCUCAUGAUCGGCCCGGGGUUCUUCGACGUUGACCCGAUGCACUUCCACGGCGACGACGCCGGCUUCGCGGUGCAGCCGGCCGCUGACGAUGGCGCCUGGAUGGAGGACCUCAUGCAUCUCGGCGACGAGCUGUUCGGCGGUGGAGGUGGCGGCGGCGCCGGGGACGACAACGACAUGGUGGGCGCUGCUGCUGCUGACCAGGCAUGGCGGCAGGAAUGCGAGGGCGCGUCCCCGGACGACCACCCCUGCAGCUACGACGACGUGAUCAGCCCUGUCUCCGGGGAGCAAGGCGCGGGCUUCGAGCCCAGCCGCGACGACAGCGACCUGUCGGGGACGAGGAAGAGGCGGGACCGCUCCAAGACCAUCGUGUCGGAGCGCAAGAGGAGGUUCCGGAUGAAGGAGAAGCUAUACGAGCUCAGGGCUCUCGUCCCCAACAUCACAAAGAUGGACAAGGCUUCCAUCAUCGCCGACGCAGUGGCGUACGUCAAGAACCUGCAGUCGCACGCCAGGAAGCUCAAGGAGGACGUGGCGACGCUCGAGGCGCGGCCGGGGUUGGCCGGCCGGCGGCAGCAGCAGCAGCAGCAGAAGCAGGGCCGGCGGCAGGGGCAGCACGGCCGCAACGGCGGCGACGACGAGGGGAACAGCGGCAGCUCCAGAGGGGGCGGCGGCGCGCGGGUGACGCUAGUGAGCGCGGCCCAGGUGGGCGAGGGCCGGUUCUUCGUGACGGUGGAGUGCGAGCGGCGGGACGGCGUGGCGGCGCCUCUGUGCGCGGCCGUCGAGGCCCUGGCCGGCUUCCUGGUGGAGAGCUCCAACCUCGGCUGCUCGUCGGACCGCGUCGUGUCAACUCUCACACUCAAGGUUUGUGAAACAAGGGAGGACGUGAUGAUCAGCGAUCGCACGGUGAAGCUGUGGGUGAUGGCGGCGCUGCUCAGCGAGGGCUUCCGGCCAGAAGCCACGUCGGAGAUCUGCUAA